AUGAAGGGAUCUGGAACGUUGGAUCGAAAAGAGGCACUGGCGAGAGAGGCUGAGAGCGAGCUGGGUCGUUCCCCUCGAGCCCACUCUCCCUUCCUCCCCGCUGCCGCCAGCCAUCCUCCCCGUCCCGCGCCUUCUCCUCCCCAUCGCCCCUCCCUGCCGCAGAAGCAGCAGUCCCCGCCCGUCGCCCAAGAGUCGAAGCCCGCCACCAAGCAGCCGCCCCCUCUCCUCUUCCUCCCACCUCAUCCCUCUCUCCCCAUCCAAACCCUAGCCCCGCACCGGCCUUCCUGCCCCGCCGCCGUCAUCUCCUUCGCCCGGUCGGCCGCCCCGCACCGCACGAGGUGGGAUGCGAGGAGGCAGGCGAGUCGCUCCAGCGAGGAUCCUAUCCCCACCGCGCAGCUCUGUAGCUCGCUCAGGCACCCGAACACCGACGCCAUGGAGGACGCUGCUCCACCCCUGCUCCGGUUCGUGCCCCCGAUGCCAUGGAGGACGCCCCUCCACCCCUGCUCUAGCCUGAAGGUGAUACGUUGUAAUAUGGCUGCACGUUGUAAUCUUGACAGGUUUGACUUGUUAUCUGUGAAUGGAGAAACAAAAACUGUAAUGCAGGAGAUAACUCAUGGUGCCUGCAACUAUCUCCUAAAACCCGUUCGCAUCGAGGAGCUUAGGAAUAUCUGGCAGCAUAAGGAUGUGAAGAUGAUAUCGCCUGAGUUGUCCCAGAGCACCAUACCGGAGCCUCGUUUCCUGCCUGCGCUAGAAAAGCGCCGUCGGUUGGGCGGCGCGUCGGUUGGCUCGUGGCGGCCUCAAGCAGCGCGGGAUUUGGCAUUCAGGGACGCCGUCAAGGGGUUCGUCGAUCUGACGACGGCAAGGAGCGACGCGGUCACUCGAGGUUGCGACAGGGGCGCCAAAAUGUGGUGCACGCAGAUCUGCAGAAGCUGUCGCGUGGAUCGUGCGAGGUGGCAAGGGGCGGCGGUUCGCGUCGCAUGGGUGCCGGCGAGGCGCGGUGCGGAUGCGGAAGGGGCGCAUCUUGGGCUGGCCGCUAGGGGCGGGCUCCGUCGGCCUCUCUGCAUCAAGUCCGGCCUGGUGGCGGCUCUAGGCAGCGACCAGUUUUUGGCUGUCGAGGUGGAGGACGUGUGGAGAUACAGCGAGGGCAUGUGGAUUGCCGGAUUGGCUGUCGACUAG
Molecule: ribosomal RNA, 1176 nt
Filed under: Triticum aestivum (bread wheat)
Lineage: Eukaryota; Viridiplantae; Streptophyta; Magnoliopsida; Poales; Poaceae
Description: partial small subunit ribosomal RNA
Source: RNAcentral